Long non-coding RNA from Triticum dicoccoides, 216 nucleotides. RefSeq lists it as uncharacterized. The transcript is spliced from 2 exons. NCBI's taxonomy places the organism in Eukaryota, Viridiplantae, Streptophyta, Magnoliopsida, Poales, Poaceae. The record is from RefSeq and is a predicted model, not a curated record.
CCGCCCUGAUGCAGCCAGCCACCAUGGCCUCCACCGCGCUCUCCACCGCCUCCAACCCUACCCAGCUCUGCCGGACCCGCGCAAGCUCGCUGUGCAAGCCCGUCAAGGGCCUGGGCUUCGGCCGGGAGCGCAUCCCGAGGAACAUCACCUGCAUGGCCGGCAGCAUCUCCGCGGACCGCGUCCCGGACAUGAGCAAGAGGGAGCUGAUUAACCUCC